CAGUCGCCGCGGGAAUACGUAGGUGGCAAGCGUUGUCCGGAAUUAUUGGGCGUAAAGGGCUCGCAGACGGUUUCUUAAGUCUGAUGUGAAAGCCCCCGGCUCAACCGGGGAGGGUCAUUGGAAACUGGGAAACUUGAGUGCAGAAGAGGAGAGUGGAAUUCCACGUGUAGCGGUGAAAUGCGUAGAGAUGUGGAGGAACACCAGUGGCGAAGGCGACUCUCUGGUCUGUAACUGACGCUGAGGAGCGAAAGCGUGGGGAGCGAACAGGAUUAGAUACCCCGGUAGUCCCUGUCUCUUAUAC
Molecule: ribosomal RNA, 301 nt
Filed under: uncultured bacterium
Lineage: Bacteria
Description: partial 16S ribosomal RNA
Rfam family: Bacterial small subunit ribosomal RNA
Source: RNAcentral